UAGCCAUAUCAAAUUGAAACACCAGUUCUCGUGCGAGCACUGAAGUUAAGCAACAUCGAGUCUGGUCAGUACCAAGAUGGGUGACCACUUGGGAAUACCAGAUCCUGUA
Acanthosepion pharaonis is the source of this 109-nucleotide non-coding RNA. NCBI's taxonomy places the organism in Eukaryota, Metazoa, Mollusca, Cephalopoda, Sepiida, Sepiidae. The record is from the annotation of a GenBank genome assembly.